CUGCAGGACCUGAAUGCCCAGGAGUGCUGAACUGGGGGGUAAGAGAGAACUUUUCAGAGGAGAACCAGGCUGCAAGUCCUAUACUUCUGGCUAGACACAAAUUUGUCAGCUGAAAGUCCCUCUCCAUCUGUCAAGUGAUAUGCUUGAAUGCACUUUACCUUGGGGAGUGGCCUUCAGAAGAAUCCAUUUCAAAGGUUCACUGGACUAUAGAAGAGAGGAGCAAAGAACCCCCAGAGAUCUUUCACCUAAAAACACAAAGUGGAGAUCAGCCAUCUUGCUGACUCUCUGCCACACAGAGCCAGGAACCAGUUGCAACGAGCAAGACUGAAUAUACAGCCACGCUAUAUGAUAGCAGCAUCAGUGCCAUGUUUAGAAGUUAUUUCUUGUUAGUUCAACAUGUUUUGCUAAAACCUGCCUCACUGAAAUAGCUCCCACCAGAACUAAUCUCAAUUAAAAAUAGAAUUCAUUAGCAA
This is a long non-coding RNA of Mauremys reevesii (Reeves's turtle), 473 nucleotides long. RefSeq lists it as uncharacterized. NCBI's taxonomy places the organism in Eukaryota, Metazoa, Chordata, Testudines, Geoemydidae. The record is from RefSeq and is a predicted model, not a curated record. The transcript has 3 exons.